RNAcentral lists this non-coding RNA (21 nucleotides) under Caenorhabditis elegans. The record is from RNAcentral. Lineage: Eukaryota; Metazoa; Nematoda; Chromadorea; Rhabditida; Rhabditidae.
UAUCAAAAAAUUUAGGCACAA